AGAAAGAAAAAAAAAAUAAUCAUGCAUGGUGAUCUUCUUGAAAACAAAAAGAAUUCCUUGAAAGAAAAUUUUGUGAAAGAAAAUUGUUCUCUAGUAUCAAUUCUUAAAAAGUAGGGUGAGGUGUUGUAUUUAUUCAAUUUAGUGGUAUCUAACUUCAAGUUUUUUUACUCACUUACCAGAAAUGCCACCAUCCACCUUAUAACCAGGCCACGUUAUAACCUAUUAAAGUCCUCUAAUGUGUGUGCUCAUGACAUGGUGAUUGAUUUUUGAGAAUGUCUGC
This 280-nucleotide long non-coding RNA is filed under the name Trifolium pratense (red clover). Its description in RNAcentral is "long non-coding RNA (TPRA_LNC014118)". Lineage: Eukaryota; Viridiplantae; Streptophyta; Magnoliopsida; Fabales; Fabaceae. The record is from RNAcentral.